Molecule: ribosomal RNA, 1014 nt
Filed under: uncultured bacterium
Lineage: Bacteria
Description: bacterial SSU rRNA
Rfam family: Bacterial small subunit ribosomal RNA
Source: RNAcentral
GCAAGUCGAACGAUGAUUACUAGCUUGCUAGUAUGAUUAGUGGCGGACGGGUGAGUAAUAUAUAGGGAUCUGCCUGUUAGUGGGGGACAACAGCCGGAAACGGCUGCUAAUACCGCAUACGCUCUACGGAGGAAAGUGGGGGACCCUCGGGCCUCACGCUAACAGAUGAACCUAUAUCAGAUUAGCUAGAUGGUGGGGUAAAGGCCUACCAUGGCGACGAUCUGUAGCUGGUUUGAGAGAAUGAUCAGCCACACUGGGACUGAGACACGGCCCAGACCCCUACGGGAGGCAGCAGUGGGGAAUAUUGGACAAUGGGCGCAAGCCUGAUCCAGCAAUGCCGCGUGUGUGAAGAAGGCCUUCGGGUUGUAAAGCACUUUAAGUUGGGAGGAAAAGCUUGGGGUUAAUAGCCUUAAGUGUUGACGUUACCAACAGAAUAAGCACCGGCUAACUCCGUGCCAGCAGCCGCGGUAAUACGGAGGGUGCAAGCGUUAAUCGGAAUUACUGGGCGUAAAGCGCGCGUAGGCGGUUUGUUAAGUCAGAUGUGAAAUCCCCGGGCUCAACCUGGGAAUGGCAUUUGAGACUGGCAGGCUAGAGUAUGGUAGAGGUGAGUGGAAUUUCAGGUGUAGCGGUGAAAUGCGUAGAGAUCUGAAGGAACAUCAGUGGCGAAGGCGACUCACUGGGCCAUUACUGACGCUGAGGUGCGAAAGCGUGGGUAGCAAACAGGAUUAGAUACCCUGGUAGUCCACGCCCUAAACGAUGUCAACUAGGUGUAUGGAGAAUUUAUUCUCUGUGUAUCGAAGCUAACGCGAUAAGUUGACCGCCUGGGGAGUACGGUCGCAAGACUAAAACUCAAAUGAAUUGACGGGGGGCCCGCACAAGCGGUGGAGCAUGUGGUUUAAUUCGAUGCAACGCGAAGAAACCUUACCUGGGCCUUGACAUGUACGGAAAGGCUUUAGAGAUAGAGCUGUGCCUUUCGGGAACCGUAACACAAGUGCUGCAUGGCUGUCGUCAGCU